This 486-nucleotide ribosomal RNA is filed under the name uncultured bacterium. RNAcentral describes it as "bacterial SSU rRNA". It matches the Rfam family "Bacterial small subunit ribosomal RNA", at positions 28 to 525 of the family's 1533-position model. The record is from RNAcentral.
GAUGAACGCUAGCGGCAGGCUUAAUACAUGCAAGUCAAGGGGGUAGCAAUACAACCGGCGCACGGGUGAGUAACGCGUACACAACAUACCAUAUACUGGAGUAUAGCUUUAGGAAACUGAAGGUAAUCCUCCAUAACAUUGCGAGAGGGCAUCUGAUUGCAAUUAAAGUUCCGACGGUAUAUGAUUGGUGUGCGUUUGAUUAGCUAGUUGGUAGGGUAACGGCCUACCAAGGCGACGAUCAAUAGCUGGCGUGAGAGCGCGACCAGCCACACUGGAACUGAGACACGGUCCAGACUCCUACGGGAGGCAGCAGUAGGGAAUAUUGGACAAUGGGCGAAAGCCUGAUCCAGCCAUGCCGCGUGAUAGAUGAAGGCCCUCUGGGUUGUAAAUAUCUUUUAUCUGGGAAGAAACUCCUCUAUUCUUAGAGGCCUGACGGUACCAGAGGAAUAAGCACCGGCUAACUCCGUGCCAGCAGCCGCGGUAAAG